RNAcentral lists this long non-coding RNA (285 nucleotides) under Sorghum bicolor (sorghum). RNAcentral describes it as "long non-coding RNA (SBIC_LNC017323)". The record is from RNAcentral. Lineage: Eukaryota; Viridiplantae; Streptophyta; Magnoliopsida; Poales; Poaceae.
AGUGGGACGGUACCGAUGGAUGUAUAGGUUUGUACUGGGAGGAAGAAUACAUUCAACACAUCAAGAAAUCUUUUACACAGGCCGUUGAGGUUGAAGAUGAUGAGGUAGUGAGCCGGCAGAAGGAGUCCAUCGAUGUUGAUCAAGUGAAUGAUCUGUCUAUUAUAGUUGGGAUCGGACGCGAACUAAUUAUAUUGCUUAAGUGCAUUUUAGUUUUAGUUUUUUUGGUGCUAGUUGUGAUUGUCUUUGUUGUAGCCAGGCUUGCAAGAAUUAAUCAACUAUGUGUGU